Molecule: non-coding RNA, 76 nt
Organism: Notechis scutatus (mainland tiger snake)
Lineage: Eukaryota; Metazoa; Chordata; Lepidosauria; Squamata; Elapidae
Source: RefSeq, a predicted model, not a curated record
GUUUUUCACUAUUGCAGGGGUUCCCAACCUUUUCUAUACCCUGUGCCCCUAGAACGCUUCUGAUAUAUUCUUGCAC